Molecule: long non-coding RNA, 9907 nt
Organism: Hypanus sabinus (Atlantic stingray)
Lineage: Eukaryota; Metazoa; Chordata; Chondrichthyes; Myliobatiformes; Dasyatidae
Exons: 5
Source: RefSeq, a predicted model, not a curated record
UGAUGAAGGCUCUCAGCCUGAGACAUUGACUAUUUAUUCCACUCCAUAGAUAUUGUCUGACCUGCUGAUUUUCUUGAGCAUUUUGUGUGUUGCUUUUAUAUUUAGAUAGCUCUUUCAGGGUAAAUAUUUAUGAAAUUUCAACCAUAAUAUUUUAGAGUUAGGAUCUUUGAAAUAAUAGAACCAGCCAAAGAACAAAAUACAACUUUAAAGAAAUAGAAUGGGACAAAAUUUCUAGAAUGAGAUAUACAGUACAUACUACCUAAACAGAAGGAUGUUUCCAUUCGUUUGGGAUAACACUUCCUCAAACUCAGAUACAGAAUAUUGAUGCACAGUGCUGGCCCUUGAAUAACAGCAAUAUUAUCAGUGAACAUAACUUUUUAAAAGUUCACUGUUAAUUAAAGUACUGUCUGCCACAAUAAUAAUGAAAUGUGAUGCCUUAAGGACAUCCAAUUGCAUUUCCUACCUUGUGAUUUUAUGUAUUUGAUCUAUUUCUGACUGUACUAAGCAUCAAAAUAUAUUUAUACAAUGUAGUGAGAUCCAUUGCCAAGUAUAGGAAAGGAGUGGCAUGUUUGACAAGUUAUGUACCCAUGGUUGUUGAGGUGUUGUUACUUUUGUAAACUUUGUUGAGUCGAAUUUGGUCCAUAUUGUAUUAUUUGCCCACAUUGAGAACUUUGGUUCAGAUCCUCAUUUUUAUGCUUAUAAUUGUAACUGGAGCAUUUUACUGAAAUCUGUGUCCAUUGUGAUCUCUUGCAUCUGCAUUAUAAUUUAGUUUAGCUGUUGUUCCAUUGCGUGGAUAAACACAUUGAAGAUUAUGUCUGUUAUAUCAAUUAGAACUUUAUUUCUGAACACCCCUGGGCCUCUUGUCCAAAUACUUUAUCCAUUAAAGUAAAAUUAUAUUUCCUAGUUUUAUUUUAAGGAAAUAAUGUAAUAGAGAAAGAGGGUGCAGCCCUGAAAAAUCUGUUUAUUUAUGAAUAGGCCCUUUUGUCCCUUCAAGCUGCAGCACACAACAACUCUCGAUUUAACCUUUGACCAAUCACAGGACAAUUUACAAUGACUAACUAACCUACUAAUUGGCACAUCUUUGGACUGUGGAUUAAGUUAUCCAGCUCUUUCUUGUACUUGUGUAGUGAGGAAAUAUUGAAUACUAGAGAUGUUGUAGUUCUGAAGUAGCAUUAAUGUAAUAUCCCAAUGUUCAACGUCCCAUGACACAAUCUAAAGAAGAGUUGCAUUCGUCUUUCACUGCUUUUUACUAAUAUUAAUCCCUUUAUUAACAUCAAUAGAAGUCUGAGGAGUCCAACUGGUACAUUUCCCUACAUUAUAAUAGAGACUACAUUUCGAUAAUUAUGAAGCAAUUUUGAGAGUUCUAAUUGAAAGCUAUUACAUAAACACAAAUUUAUCUAUUUUUCUCUUAUGUCAAUUUGUGCAUAAACCUCAUUAUCAUACAGAUUACACAAGGUUAUACAUCAUUUAGAACUAGCUACCAGUCAGAAAACAUAACAGAACAUGGGACAUAGAAGGUUGAAUAGGAACAGGCCUUUUACAACUAAUAUUUGCACUCAACACAAUGCCAAAUUAAACUAGAUCUCUCAGCCUUUACAAAAUCCAUAAUCCCUCCAUCCACUACUUUUUCAUGUGUUUAAUUAACUCUCUGAUAAACACCACAAUUAUAUCUGCUUCUUAAACUAUUAUAUUCCAAUGACAAGGCUUUUAACUGAAGCAUAUUAUUAUUCUAUGAAAUGAUACCUGUACAAUAGCAAAUAAUUUAAAAUAAUCGUUUCAAGAAAAAUAUGCAUAGAGAUCUACAGUCUAAUAUAAUUGUCAUUCUAUAAAUCAAAUAAUACAGCCAAUACUUCAGUUUCCUUGCUACCUCCACCUCCUUCUGCUGUAUAUGUGAUGCAUAUUCUAGUAAUGAUAGAAUUUUGCAAUUGCAACUGGAAUUAAGAACUUUCAAUCUCAUUAACAAAUAAUAGGUUAAGUGAUCUGCACUCCUGCAUUCAUCUAAGCUAGAUGCAGAAGGGCUAUUUCAAUGGCCCUCCUGAAAUCCAUUCAGAAUGGUCAGAAUGGCAACAAUGCCCAAAAGAUAGUCAGCAAAGAUGGACUGAGAUGGAAGGGUAGAGCUUAGCCUACUGAACAGGUUGUGAGUUCUCUUAAUAGUCUGCAAAUAUUUCAAACACAUUGAAAUUGAUGUACGUAAUCUAAAUAUAUAAAAUCCAUUAUACAUUAUAAAACAAUCAGUUGAACCAUAUAACAUGCUUAUAUAAAUUAAAACAUCAAACUAAACAAAAUCAUUUCAAAAUAUAACUCAAACUUCCCCUUUACCACCUCUACAAUCAGAAGGCCUCUUUUUAAAUUAAUGGGCUCUAAUUGAGAGCAAGAUCCAAGAGGAUCCUCUCAAGAUUAUACCAUGUGAAGUACCCCACCUUACUUACUUUCUUGGGCACGUAGCUCCUAAGUGCACCCCCACCCCCCAAAGAUGACCUCCUGUCUCCACCAUCCUUUGAAGUCGAUGGUAUGGUUGAAAUUCAUCAAUGCUUCUGCAAUCUAUUGCAUCCACCAUACAGGGGCUGGCCUAUACAGCUUCUCCAGAUCCCUGUUAGCCAACUUUACCCAUUUCCACCUUUCAUGAAGGGGACUUUGAGAGGUAGAGUACCCCACCUAGGGUCCAACAAUAGAACCUAGUGACUUUUACAGUGCCAUCCAUCAUUCAGUGAGGCCCAGGUUUGUAUAUACACAAGGACAAGCUGUUAAAAUGACUUAAAUCUUGAGUAUCUGACCGGAACUCCCAGCAAUCUCUAUGAAAACUGGGUCAUUGAAAUAAUAAAAAAACAGAAACUAAUGUAAAUAACUGAGAUGAAUGGAGAGUUGAAGAAAGGUCUUCAAAUUUUCGCCCAAACUAAACAACAUCAGAAAGGUGAUAGUUCAAUAAUACAGAACAGGGAAACAAACAAAGUAUCAGUUUAAAAGGGACGUAAGUAACAAUAAGAUUGAUUGGAUACUGUAUCCCACAAAUGUGAAGAAAAUCUAAAAUUAUUGAGUACAUUAUUAAACCUACAGAUACUCCCCAUCCUGUGUAUUCACAUCAUUUGUUAUUUUGUUUCAUACUUCUGACUUUGACAGUAUUUUUUCCUCUGUGAAUAAUUAUUGAUUGAAUUUUGCUCUAAUAUGAUUAUUUCAGUUAGUGGAGUGAAUAUGAAUUGCAGAAAGAGGCAAGAAUGAAAGUUAUGAGGUCCAGAAGCUCUUAAAUGAUAAGUUCCUAUUUAUUAUUACAGAGUCAGAGAAUCACAGAGCACAGAAACAUGCCCUUUGGGUCAUCAUGUCCAUUAGAUACCCAAAUAAGACAAAGGAGCAGAAUUAGGCCAUUCAGCCCAUUGGGUCUGCUCUGCCGUUCCAUCACAUAUACCAAUCCUACUCACCAGCUUUUGGUCCAUAGCCAUUUACACCCUAAUAAUUCACAUGCCCAUCCACAGUUUUUUAGAUGUUGUUAUAGUUGCAUAAGAAACAUAGAGGAGUACAACAAAUGCAGAAAAGAAACAAAGGAAGUUAAAAAUUGUUUUUUCUCAAGAUGACUACUGCUGAUAUUUAAAUCGGUUUCUAAAGCACUGAAAGUUUGCAAUUCAUAAAUUCUCUGCAGUUAUUUUAUAUGGGUCAGUUUGUGUUCUAUUUAAAUUGUUAGUACUCACAUUAUACUGUAGGUACAGAGCACAGAACAGCUGAAGAAGGUUUUUAUACAGGAGAUUUUUAUUAAUAUAAGAUUUAGCAGAUAAAGUGGUUGCCAGACAAAUAUCAGUGAACUUACUUUCUCUAUUUCAUCUAUAAAAUAUGGGCUGUAAACAAAAGUUGUUAAUUAGUUGCCACUUAUUGAUUUCUUGGUAUUUAUUGAAUGAUUGAUAUAAAAUAGCAAUCAAUUCCCUUGUGUAUAAUUGAUACAAAAAUUAAUCCUAAAUGGUUUUCAAACGACAAUGCCGAGCAUAGGUAAUUUAUUCAAUAACAGUGCCAAUUGAUUUUCCCACACUAUUAUCAAAAAAACUAAUUUGCUGACUAUUAUCACAUUGUGGUUAUGGGACUUUAUUAUUUGUAAUUCACAAUGGUGUCCACACUGACAAAUGUAAUUUAUUAACUGUAAAACAAUGUACAAUAUCCUAAAGCUUAAGAAGACAUUAUCUAAAUGCAAGUUUUUUAAUGUGUUUGUUGCAAUGUUAGUCAAACUCUCUAGCCCAGAAAAAGAAAAACUAUAUUAAUGUUAUAUACAAUUUCAAAAAUGUUUUAAAUGCUUUCAAUAUCUUUUAUUUCUGCUUCAAGAAAUCUAAUCCUUUCUCCUCCUUGUCUCUCAGCUUAAACUUCCAGCAAGUUACAGUACUUAAAAAGUUCCAGUGAAAGGUCUUCUCUAUGAAACACGAAUCAUGUUUCUCUUUCCACAGAAGCUUUCUAACCCGCGAUGUGUUUCUUGGUUUUAUAACACUUGCGUAAUAAAGCAACAUAUAAAUUCCUUUCUUUCUUCAAUCAAAGUAACAAGAAAGUUACUUUGUUUCAAUUCUGUCUGUAAUACAUCUGGUACACAUUUGUCACACUUCAGCGUGUCAUAUUUGAUCCUGACUGAUUCAAAUAUCAAUUUCAAUUAAAUUUAUCAUAUUAUAUAAUUGGACAAGUGGAAAACGUAUAAAUAUAUUUUGAUUUUUAUUCAUCUUCAGUUAAUCACAAAUGAACUGUUAGGAAACAUACCGAAUAAGAACACACAUUUUCCAAUAUACCAACAAUACAAUACACCAACCUAGAGGUAUUAAAAUGAAUCAACCAAUCAAGAUUGCUCAGUCUAGAAAAGUCACCACAAAAUCCAUGAUGAACAAUUAUUCAUUCAAAUAUUUCUGGGAAAUGCAUUGUUUUACUAUUAUGUUUUUCAGAAGGGGAAGAAAACAACUUACAAGAUAACAAAUUUACCUGUAAACUAACCUAGCUCCUGUUUAAUUGCUAAACUUACUCAGAGAUCAGCCCAAGUGUUUUGCUGUCUACCAACUCUUCCUGAGGGCUUCCUGCUCUAAGUGCUUCCUGGCCUAAGUGUUUCUUGUUGCCCUUCGUUCCUCUUGAAGUGUUUCUUCUCCUCAGAGCUUGCUGACCAAUCCUGAGUGCUUUCUCUGGAGCAUAACAUCCUGCUUCUAAACUGUUUUACUUUUUGCUCAGAAACCCGGAUUCUCGAUUGCCUCUGACUGAACUGGCACAUGCAUCUUAAGGCUUUCUUCUUCUUUCAAUAAGGUCUUGCACUAUGAUUAGCUAAUGAUUAACUUUAUUAUUUGUCACGUGUAUAUCAAAACAUGCAGUGAAAUGUCAACGACCAGCACAGUUCAAGGAUGGGCUGGGGACAGCCUGCAAGUGUUGCCUUACUCUAACGCGAACAAAGCAUGCCAACCAUUUACUAACCCUAACUUCUAUAUCUUUGGAAUGGGGGAAGGAAACUGGAUAACUGGAGGAAACCCAUCGCGUCACAGAGAGAAUUUACAAAUUCCUUAAAGACAGUGGUGAGAAUUCAAUCCCAAUUGCUGAUCGCUGAUGCUGUAAAGUACUGUGCUAACUGUUACACCAUAUUGCCAUCCAUAGUAUGCCAAGGGCUGUGGGGUGAGAUUUUCCCUUUCCACCUAGCCCAUUCCAAGCUUUCUGAAUAUCUUCCUCAUUCUGUCUUUCAUGGACUAGCCUAUCAUGUUCCUAUUAUCAGCACUGGAUUUUUCUUUGUCAUUAAUGUCCCUUACAGUUAUCUUUGCAAUUCUUUUGGAUUAGGAUUAUUUAUGAAUUUUAUACUAUAAUAGCAAUCACAUUUUGAACUAACGUUUAAUGUCCAAAGGAAAGAAAAAGUGAUUUCAAACCCCAUAAAUUACUCUAAAAUAAUAUUUUUCCGCACUGAGAUUCCAUGAGAACACCACAAAUAUUUUAAUCCCUGCUUCCUUCUCGUGCUAUUGUUUCUUGAUAAUUCUUUGCUUGGCAGCAUCUUUGUUCAAUUGAUCUAUUUGGAUUUAUUCACAGUGUCUGAUGUACAAAGAUUAUAUCAGAAUUUUUAUAUACAAUACUAGAAUGUGUUCUCAAAUUAAUGUUAAUGCUUUUGUGAGGGUUUAUCCAUCUUGUUUUUUCUCUCUCUCUGUCACUAACAGCAGGAACUUGAUUCCAGACAUUUCAUCAGCAAGUGUGGCCAAUAAGCUGUGAACAGACAACUUCCUGUAGUCCAGCUUCUAUGUUAGUUUAUUUCAAAAGAUAUCUCCAGUAACAGAAGAUUGGCUUCCUCUUUUGACCAGAAGUUAAACAAAUGUCAGAAGAUGUGUUUGGAAAGUGGUGGUGGCAUCCAUAAGUCUCGCGAGACCAUGGAUUUGUGCCUGGAAAGUCUUGCUUCAGUCUGUGUUGGUGGAGCAGCGUCUGUUGUGGCUGUAGAGGCCCACAUGGGAGUGACAGUCUCGGCUGCAGCGACUGCACUUGAAGGCCCUGCCCUCCAGUGUUGUCUUGGUGCUGUUUUCUUGACAUCUUUGAAACGAAGGUGGGGCCGCCCUUGUGCUCUCUUGCCGGAGGCCAGUUCCCUGUACAGCAGGUCUUCUGGCUGCUCGUCCGAUCCAUCUAUUGAUCUCAGGGUCUAGGCAGAGAUUGUCCGUGAUGGUGGAACCAAGGGAAUUAAAAAAAGAAGAGGAUCCUGGUUUGAAGUUUUUUCUAUGAUUUGUCAUUGGAUGCUAAGCACUGCUGACAUCUACAGAACCUUCUCAUUGGAAAGAGGCUGAAUCUGUGAGUGGAUUAUGAAACAGACAAGUGAAAAACGAAAUGGAAUCCUUUGGACCAUGUGGCAGCACCUUGAUGACCUCGAGUUUGAAGAUGACAUCCCCCUACUGUCCAGUUCUAACCAAUAGAUGCAAAAAAAAACUCUUGACCACUAACUCCACCAGCUAUAGACCCAUAGUGAUGAGAGAUACAAUCCUGGAAGAACAGACUUCCUAGGUCUACAUAUAUAUGGUAGAACGGAUGUCAAGGCCAGCAUCAACAAUGCCAGAGUAGUUUUCAAUGUCUUGAAGAAAGUGUGGAUAUCAAGGAAAACUAAUAACAGAAUAUCAACACAAAUGUUAAAACAAGGCUCCUAUAUAGCUCUGAAACCAGGAGAACAACAAAGACGACCUAGAAAAACUGCAGACUUUCAUCAACCAGUGCCUGAGAAGGAUCCUAAACACGAAAUGAACUGACAAAGUAACCAACCAGACACUGUGGGAAAACACCAAUUAGGAAUCCAUAGAGGUACAAAUACGCAAGCAGAAAUGGAGGUGGAUUGGCCACACAUUGACAAUGCCACCAAUAUCACCAGGCAGGCAUUAAAAUGGAAAGAAGAAGAGAAUGCUGAAAUAACACAUGGAGAAGAGAUGUUGAGGCCAAAAUUAGAUGUCGUGGACACUUCCGGUUCACCAUCUAGAAAUUGCUUCAGAACAGAGGAUGAUGGAGAUGGAAGUUCAUCAGUGGCCUAUGAUCCACUGGGAGCUACAGGCCCAAGAAGAAGGUGGUCAACAUGUUAACAAUACCAUGCUGUUGUUAAAAGGCAACAGGUCUGGGACUUCCACACAUGCAUUGACAAUUGCUGAAGUUCCGUAAUUAAUCAGCAAGCAACCACACAACAAAGUACUGUGCAAUGGUCUUAGGCACAAGUAAAAAAUAUCUCUCAAGCAAAGAUGCUUUCAAAAAUAAUGAAAGGAAAAGUUUCUAAAUAUCAAAAAAAAACUAUAAAGAGCAGUAAACACUAAAUUAAAAACUAAAUCAAAUUAAUAUUUGGUGUGACUACACUUUGCCUUUAAAACUGCAUCAAUUCUCUUCAGUACACUGUUGUGCAGUUUUAUAAGAAAAUAAUCUGGUAAGAUUUUUCGAAGCAUCUUGGAGAACUUGCCACAGUUCUUCUGCUGUUUCACUUGCUUUUGUCUUUCCAAGUAAUCCCACACAGCCUCAAUGAUGGAGGCCAUACCAUCAGAAACCAUACAGAAAUCUAGGAUGCCUAAGACUUUUGCAUAGUUUAUUUCAGUUUACUUCACUGUUGACUUCCCCCUCACACCCUUCCCCUGAUAUCCUGGGGCUGAACUGACUUGUAAGGUUCUCUCACUUUCAGUCUGUGGGGAGGCGAGCUGGUGAGGAGUGAAGAAGACACGCACUCUCAGGGUGCCAGUUUUUCACUGAUACAUUAAGUGUUUGGGGGUCUGAUGCCCUUGUUGCCAUUUUCUGAGUGGGCGAUAUGCUAGUUUAUGUGUGAGGGAUGGGUCCGAUGUUCUCUGUUAAUUUUUGUGUCAGAGAGGGGAUCAGGGGUUUGAUGUUACUAUUGCUUUUUUUUUCUCAUGAUGGAGGGUGUUGGGGGUUGAUGUUCUAGCUGCUAUUUUCUGGGAGGGCAAUCUGUUAAUCUUUGUGCAAGGGAGAGGUUGAUGCUUUUUCUUUCUUUUCCAUGACUUCCAUGUUUUUUCGGUAUAACAAAAUGAACCUCUGAAUGGCAAACGUCAAUGAGUUUCAGUCCUGCUGUUACUUAGAACACAGAUGGAAAAUUGUUCUCCACUCCUAGCCAGCAAAUUCAGUAGUUGCACACUGGCGUGAUCUUGAAAUUUCAGGCACAUGUUCUGAAUCAAUGACAAACAACUGGAAAAAUUAAGGCCAUUAAACUGGAAACAAACAUGAAAUGACAAACCUUGAGAAAGAAAACUCAACAGAUUUUAGUAUUUGCUAUAAAAAUUGAUUUUGCUAAGCAAGUUUUGAAGUUAAAUUGCCAAAUGAAAGAUUGUUAAAUUUGAAAUUAAAGACAUUUCAAGAGGACUAGAAUAUAAAAGCAAGGAUGCAAUGUUGAGGCUUAAUAAGGCACUGGUGAAGCCUCACUUGGAAUAUCAUGAGCAGUUUUGGACCCCUUAUCUAAGAAGGGAUAUGCUGACAUUGGAGAGAGUUCAAAGGAGGUUCACUAAAGUGAUUCUGGGAUUGAAAGGCUCGUCAUAUGAAGAGUGUUUAAUGCCUCUGGGCCUGUACUCACUGGAAUUCAGAAGAAUGAGGGGUGACCUCAUUUAAACCUAUUGAACAUUGAAAAACCUUGACACAGUAGACGUGGAGAGAAUGUUUCCCUGUUAUAGGGAAGUUCAAGAUCAGAGGACCUAGCCUUAGAACAGAGGGGUGUCCUUUUAGGACCAAGGUGAGGAGGAACUUCUUCAGCCAGACUGGUGAAUCUGUGGAAUUCAUUGCCGCAAGAGGUUAUGGAGGCCAAGUCUUUGGGUAUAUUUAAGGCAGAGGUUGAUAAGAUUCUUGAUUAGUCAGAGCAUAAAAGAAUAUGGGCAGAAAGCAGGAGAUAGGGGCUGGAAGGGAAAAUGGAUCAUCCUUGAUGAAAUGGCAGAAUAGACUCAAUGGACUAACUGGCCCCAUUCUGCUCCUAUUAUCUUAUGGUCUUAAGAGCUUGGAUUUUAGAUCAAAUUUAUGCAGUAGCUCCAACGUUUUGUCAUUACAUUAAAUCACAAAGCUGCAAAGCUAUUGCAGGGAGACUAGGAAUGGAGUUUCAAAUGCUGUUGUAUCUAUUCAAAAACUGGAGAGUAUUCAAUUACCUCCUGAUAAGUGAGUCAUCAACAACCUGUUGUGGUUGCUGUUGAUAUCAAGUUAGUAAAUGUUGAGAAAUUAGUACAAGGACUUAAUUUUCCAUUUCUACCACACAGAUUUAAAAUAGGAAAUUAAAACCAAGGUUGUUUUCUUAAGCAUGAAAAGAUUGAAAAUAGGUCACUACAGAUAAGCAGUUGCAGUGACUUUUGUGAUUACAAAUCAAAUGUUAAAAAAGCAAAAAAUAAUUGCUGUAAUAUUUAACACCUUUUUUUCCUAAGUAUACACAUAUGUUGCAGAGUUACUACAGGUGUUUUCACUCCAAAGGAAAUAAAGUUCAUUUGAAAAUGUUUGAUAU